This 347-nucleotide ribosomal RNA is filed under the name uncultured bacterium. RNAcentral's name for it is "partial 16S ribosomal RNA". It matches the Rfam family "Bacterial small subunit ribosomal RNA", at positions 338 to 682 of the family's 1533-position model. The record is from RNAcentral.
CCUACGGGUGGCAGCAGUGAGGAAUAUUGGUCAAUGGGCGAGAGCCUGAACCAGCCAAGUCGCGUGAAGGAUGAAGGAUCUAUGGUUUGUAAACUUCUGUUAUAGGGGAAUAAAGUGAGGAACGUGUGCCGUUUUGUAUGUACCAUAUGAAUAAGCAUCGGCUAACUCCGUGCCAGCAGCCGCGGUAAUACGGAGGAUGCGAGCGUUAUCCGGAUUUAUUGGGUUUAAAGGGUGCGUAGGUGGUUAAUUAAGUCAGCGGUGAAAGUUUGGGGCUCAACCAUAAAAUUGCCGUUGAAACUGGUUGCCUUUCGUAUAUUUGCGGUAGGCGGACUGCGUGGUGUAGCGGU